AAUAGUUUUUGUGUACCUAUAAAUUUAUUUAUUAUCGUUAUUUGUAAUUGUAACCAUUGGGGGCUAUCAGCUCAUGGAUUUUAUAAAAAAAAAAAAAAAAAUAAGUAACUGAUAUAGAAGUCUGUCGAUAUUUAUUAUCACACACACACACGCACACACCCAUCAGUAGCCAAUAUAGGUACAUCAUAAUAUGUAUAGUAUUAUGUGCAGACUACUGUACACAAACGGAAUGAGGAGACUAUACUCGUCAGAGAUGCCGACCACGUUUCCUAUACCAUACACUGCAGCCAUAGGGAGAGAGGCGAAUGAUCGAUGAGUGCGUUUCAGACAAACCGGACAGUAAUAUUAUAGAUAUACGUGCGUAAGUCACGCGCAUUUACGUAUGCGUUCGGGAUAUUAAAUUAAACGAAUCGCGAAUACACAAAAAUAAUACCAGAAGCUAUAUAACCACAAACGGAUGCUGUACUAGGGUGCAACUGCUGUGGUUUGUGUGGUGUUCUUUUGGACAAGCUUAUGAAUAAAAUCAAUACGACGGCAGCAUAAUAUAAUAUUCAGUUGUCAAAUGGCAUGGUUUUGACAAAAUUCCAAAUAGGUGAUGGACAUUGAAAUCGAUUUUUUCGGGAGAGAUAUAGCAAUUUGCCUCAUUAAAAAAUUCUUAAUUAUAAGUAGUUUUAUCUAACUUUACCUAACCUAUAAGUUUCGUUUAUAAUCUGUUAUGUGUAAUUGUUAUUCAAAUAAUUGUGUUAUUGUCAAACUAAAAACGUAUUGAUAUAAUAUUAUCACGUUAAUAACUAUAUUAUAACCCUGUUAAGUAUAAAGUAGGCAACUAAAAUGAUAUUCAUGAGUUUAUGAAAUAUAUAUCGACGCCUUCCCUGCUCUCGAUAUAAUAUAAUUUUAUUUUUUUUACUCUCAAUAAUAUAAUGACAUUUAAUGAUAUUAUAUUAUAUCACAUAUGUCAUAUUAUUAUGUCAUAUCUAUUCUGGUGACAUUCGAGAUGAUUCCUGGAUGUGCAUCGAGGUUCAAAACGUUCAAUAACGCGAGGUGAAUACUUCCAAAAAUGUACCUAUUAAUCAUUCGACUUUUCGAAUAAAUCGUGUGUCUAAAAUUGUUAUAACGAAGAAUCGAACCCCAUUUUUCAUAUGUAACUUUAAUUCAAGUAAAAAUAAGAAAAAAACACUUUUAUUUUGGAAUACACACCGUCCUACUAUAAUAAAAGUAUGUCAUUAGUGUGAUAACUUGUAGAAAAUAAUCAAUCUGACAUGAAUAAAACACGCAAAUAUUGAUUAUUGAAUAGUUCAUUGAAACUUAUCAGCUUUUAUACUUAUAUAAAUAUAUUAUAUACCUUUAAAAAACCAUAUUGUCCGAAAAAAUUAUUGCGUAAAAACU
This is a long non-coding RNA of Aphis gossypii (cotton aphid), 1386 nucleotides long. RefSeq lists it as uncharacterized. The record is from RefSeq and is a predicted model, not a curated record. NCBI's taxonomy places the organism in Eukaryota, Metazoa, Arthropoda, Insecta, Hemiptera, Aphididae. The transcript is spliced from 4 exons.